Molecule: long non-coding RNA, 5684 nt
Filed under: Xyrichtys novacula (pearly razorfish)
Lineage: Eukaryota; Metazoa; Chordata; Actinopteri; Labriformes; Labridae
Source: RNAcentral
UUUCAAAUUGUAUGGUUGCUUUGAGGUAAAGGUGAUUUUAACGUUGUAUCCACUUAAUAACACUCGAGCAGAAAAAGCGAAUGAAAAUAUUGAUGUCCCACAAUGCAGCUGCAAUUUAAAAUGCUGUUUACAAUAUAGUGCAGUUCAUAAGUCCUGACAUCACUUGGACCAAAGGAAAAUGAAAUGGUUUCUUGUCUUACUUAAGAGAAGACUUAUUAUUUCUCACAAUGCAGUGAAAGCAGAGCGUUAUUUAUUUAGGAGGAUUUAAAUAUCUUCCACCUGGAUAAAGAAAGAGGAAGCCAGCUUCAUUAUUCCCCCUACUCACUCUGCCUGUUGUUUCUAUCCAGAAGGCUUUGUUUCAUACUUUCUUCCUCAGCUCACAUUCCCCCCGCCUCUCCCCCACUUUUUUUUCUUUUUUUUGGUCUCCCUUACAUAAGGACUGCCCUAUUUUUUCAGGGACCAGUAAGAGGUAGGAAUAAAGGGAGUGAGUGGGUGAGAGGGACUGGUGGAGGGAGAAAUCCAAUGAAAGAGAGAGACGGAGAAGGAAGAAAGAUAUGGGGGUAGACUGUUUGUGUAGUGAGCACUUGAGGAAGACACAAACCAGCGUAUGUCCUCGUCAUCCCCCUCACCUUACUGGCCUUGUGUGCCCACACACUGCUCCCCUCUCCUCACCUUUUGCUCCCCCUUCUCCUUACCCUUGGCUCUGGCAAUGCGAUCCUUCUUUCUUCUUCUUAUAUCCCUCUGCUCUUCACUGAAUCCUCUGUGCAAAUUCAUCUAUCUAUCUAUCUAUCUAUCUAUCUAUCUAUCUAUCUAUCUAUCUAUCUAUCUAUCUAUCUAUCUAUCUAUCUAUCUAUCUAUCUAUCUAUCUAUCUAUCUAUCUAUCUGUCUGUCUGUCUGUCUGUCUGUCUGUCUGUCUGUCUGUCUGUCUGUCUGUCUUGUAUUUUUUAGUAAUUUCUCUCGUAAUCUCAUUUAAAAUGUCUAAUUGUCAUUUAACAAAUUAAGUGUACCUUUAAAGUAAUACUACAUGUAUGAAAUAUUAAAUGUCAAUAUAUAUAUAUAUAUUAUUAAUACUUUAAUGUAAAGGAAUGACGACAUGUAAUUUGGUUAAAGCCUACUUAAAUAGGCUUCUAUUAAAAAAAAAAAAACUUAAUUAAGCAAUUUAAGGUGUUAGGUUUGUAAAAAUUGAUAAUUCUAGAUCAGUGAUAUUGUUGAGUAAAAAAAAAUUCACAAAAUGUAAAAGUAUUUGAUAAAAUGUUUAAAAAAUGCCACAAAAACACAACUUCAAUAUACAUAAAUAUAUAUAUAUAUAUUUGUACAUGUUCUUACUUUUGUAAAAAGUUUUUGCAAUUCAUAAAAAAUUUCCACAGGGGGAGAAAUUCUUUAACCUUUUAAUGGACAUCUUUCUAAUUUAUGAAAUGAUUUUGUGAUUUUCAUAGUUAAAGCUCUCAGUGAAAUAUUUUCUUGAGUGGGUAAAUGUUUUUUGUGGAGUUAAGUUGUAGGUUCACCUUAGAGUGCUUCCUUUACCUUCAAAGUAUACAACACUUUUCAUAUCCCAUUUACUGACCAUAUGGGAAAUGGGAUAUCAUCACAACUUAAACUUUUCACUAAUUUGUCAUAAAAACUUUAUUUUGAAACAGUUUAAGGCAGUUACAUUCGAGCAUAUACACUAACUGAACCCUCUAUACUUACACAACCAAGCUGAUACAUCAUUAACUUUAAUCAUUCACUUAAAAAGCACAAAAAGAUUAUCUGUAAAAGCACUGCUAUGCAAAAGUAAAUGCAAUGUACAUGUUACUCAAAAGUCCUGUUUCUGAGAGAAAACUGAUUUCUAAUAAGGUCAUUCCUCUGACAACAUGCAGAGAGUUAGAAAGGAUGACACACACUUCCAAGUUAUUUAUACAAAGAAUACAAAGACAUCACACAUUAUGUACAUGUUAAAAGUAGUGCCUCUGACACAUUCAUCAGCUGUGUAACAGAAUGUGAAAUCAAACAGAAUGAAAUGUGACGCAGAUUCAGAAUGCAUCAAUCAAUGCUAAACUUGUAGUCAGAUCUGGACUGAUCAGCAGUGUUCACCCUCUCAAAUCCCAAAGUUAAAGGACAAGUUUGUGCAAAGGAGGGUUUUUAAAUGCAUACAUCUAAUCUCAACCAACACAAUCUCUUGAUGUACAUAUCCCUUACAUCUGACAUCUUUUACACUAUUUUAGAUUCUUGAUUGGCUGAUUCAACAUCUGGCAAAGAGAUGGUAGAGAAAACUGUCCUUGAGUACACACUCACAGGUAAAGAGAUGAAUUAAGUUAAAAACACCUUACUCCCAAUCCCAGUUUAUAUGUGCAGAGUGUCUCUGUUGAUUGAUGUAGGACUUUAAUAAUAGUUUCAGUUGGGAAUUACAAACAGUCAUCUUCUAUAAAACACCUGGUUAUCACCGUCUGUAACAGACUGACAUUUAGGGAAUAACAUCCACAGGAAGAGGAACGCAGAGCAGAUUGUGGAUGUCAGCGGCACUCUUUGCGUCUCACAUUAUCAACCCUCACGACUUGUAAAUAAACACGCAGGAUAAAUACACCCUUACGUCCCAGGCCAACACACGCUCACAUCUUUAAAUACCCAGCUCUGACGACUGAGAUUGCACUGCUCAUCAAAUUUCUGCGUGAGCGAGCCCAGGCUAAAUUUGCAGCCAGGGAGCCAACUUACGCAAUCCUCCCUGGUCUCCCUUACUGUCUAUACAACGGCUCAAAAAAAUCUCACAGUUCUCAAAGCAUCCCAGCCCUCCCACACUACACACUACAACUCUGCCACUAUUCCUGUUCUCAGGCCCCCACCACCGUGGCCCAAAAAUACCGGCACCUCCAAGAACAGACGCCAAGCCUGUCAGAGCAUCAUCUCAUCCCACAGGACAGCCGGGGAGAGGGAAGGGGAGGAGGGAUGAGGACGGGGGAGAUGAAGAGAUGAAGAGCAGGUUGAGGGAUGAGAACAGCCGCUGUUGAGAGAAAGGAAUCAACAGAGACAGAGAAGAUAAAAUAAAUAGACUUUGUGAAGGAGGGUACAGUUUACAGUGAGAUCCUCUAGAUCCACCUCAAACUGUUUCUCUCUCUUCUGAUGUGAGGGAGCUCCUCUGUGGAAGAGUGUGCUGUUAUUUCACUAUAUUUAUGAGGACCACCUGAGGAAAUCACUGUACCAAUUCUCUUUGAACCGGUCACCUUCACACCAAUUAAACUAUGUUAUUCCAGAAACUUAGUAGCUUUUAGAUGACACUAAUGAUUAAAUAACAAGUAUAGAUAUCCUUAAGGCUGGUGCACAAACAGAUAAGAUAUUACUUUUUUUUUUAUUUUGAAGUGUUUGUAUGAGUGUAAAUGUACCACCAGGCUGUGGUGGUGUUGAUUCAGGUGUGGCAUGGUAGUAGUAAGGCAUAUUGAUGAUGACAUUUAUAUUGACAUGAAUUUUAUUACAUUUUUAUCUAAUUUUUUUGUUUCUCUCUGUUGAGUACUCCACAAACUCAUUUAAUCCUCCCUCAAGGGUUUUGUGACUCAUUAAAAUGUUAAAAACCCCCCAAGGUAAUGAGUGCUUUUAGAAUGACUGAAUUUUUGGUCAUUUGCCAUUCUACUUUCUGACCUUGUAUAAGCACACACUAGGGCGAGGCCAAACUGGGGGGGUGGUUUUUUUGAGUAUGGCAUAAAGUGUGAUUUAGCUUUUCUAUGCUCAACAAUCAUAUGUACUUUGGCUACAAUUAUCAAAGCACCUUGGAAUUGCAAAAAUUUCCACAAUAGUGGCAACACCUCAGUCUUUACUCAUCUUGAUGGAUUUUAGGAGACACAUAUUUGUCCAAAGUCACAUAAAAAUAACUAGUGAGGUACUCCAACCUGUAGUGACACAGUCUCACCUCAAUAGCAGAUCAUAGUUUGGGAUUUGGGGUUGUCACUCAUACUCUUUGGAUCCGCCCUGACUACUGCUGGUCAAAGCCCCUUGUUUUCUUCCACCUUUACAGAAAGAUCAACAUGCCAGUUGUUAUAUGCUUUUAAAUCCGUUGAUGAAAUUUGAAGAGAUGGGAAUCUCCUAACCCUAUAAUGCCUGAAACCACAAAUUAUGACCAGAAAAUUCAAAUUUGGGAGCUGAAAUGUUUAUUUUACUUACUACUGAAAACCAAAAAAUUGUCCUUAAAAUUUAACAAAUAUAUUUAUUUAUCUUAUUUGAUACAUUAGAUGUUUUUGGAAACUGAUAAACCCCAAGAGGACAUUUUUAUCAUUUAUCGGACUGUUUUAAGGUGUUUUCUUUAGUAAUUUGUUGAUCAUAUAGAUUAAUAGAAGUAUCAUAAAAGUAUGUAUCAAAUGUGAUACAAAAGGCAAUAAAGGACUACUGCUGUACAGAAAAACAUUGCAAGUGUUUUUUUGUGAAGGAUAAAAUGUAAAAUACAGUACAUACACAUAUUUAUUUAUUUUUGCAAAAUCAGACAUAUGUCCAAUAUUCUAAAUUUUGGACCGCGGUUUACUUUGUCUUCUUGUUUGCACUUCAGGCUGCAGUAGGAUGGAUAUGGUUAAGCCCUUAAUCACUGUAAACUAAUAAACUAAGUGUAAGCUAUUUGUUAACAUAUGUGCAAAAAGUAACAUUUUUAUUAGCCUUGUUAUUUUAUUAAGGUUGCACUUCUGGUGAUAAAAAAUAUACAUUUAAUAAUUUAAAAAAUUGAUAAAGCAACAGAAUUGUGUUUUUUUUUUAACUGUUAUUUUUUUUUUUUGCACUUUGACCAUCUGUACAUCAUUGGUGCAAAUAACACCUCUAGUUACUUUAGUUUAAUUAAUUAAGUAAAUUUUUUUUUUUAAUCCACAUGUUGGCAUGUUCAUUGUAAGCGUAGAUUAAAACCUGCAAAUCUCUUAGUGUGGCUGUUCUUUUGGCUUUUCUGGAAAACAGAAAAGGUUACAAUGAAGGCCCCUGGAUGCUUGUUUUUAUCAGCUCCAGAUGUCACAUUGUCUGACCUCCUGCGGAACUGACUCAGAAACAAGAUACAGACGAUUUUAGCAAAAUACAAAUAUUUGAAAGAAAGAUACAAUUAUUAAAAAGAGCUGAUGGAGAGGCCAGACUCCGAGAUGAAUGAGCGUCCUUGCUCCCCUCUCUCUGCCUCCUCUUUCCAUCACAAUGCAGAUGGACGGUUGCCGAGGACAACCUGUGUGUACUCACCUAACUAGGAACAGGAAAUGGUGUGUGUGAGCAAAGGUGCUAUUAAUAGCUGUGUGUGUAGAAAGAACAUUUGCUCACUCUGCUGAUGUGUGAGUACGUGCAAAGAUACCUGUGUGUGUACAUAUGUGUGUAUGUAUGUAUGUAUGUGUGUGUGUGAUAGAGAGAGGGAGAGGGAGCAGCCAGCAUGGAACAGGGAGGUGGAGGAGGAUGUAGAUUGUGAGACUCAGACAGUUACUAGAGAGAAAAGGAGGGAGGCAGGGAGCGGGGAGAAAGAGUGAGGGAUGGAGGAAGAGAGAGAGAGUGAGAGAGAGAGAGAUGGAGAGAGAGGGAACGUAGUGGAGGAGGGGGCGAGUGUGUGUUGACGCUGUACGUGGCGUCAGUGCGAUAUGAAUAGAGAUGGUGCGUGUAGCGCUGCUGAGACAUCACCCUCACACCCUCAGUGGGGCAGGCAGCACUCAUUCUGUUUGUGUGUGUGCGUGCAGAUAACAUCCAGGGUAUGCUCAUGUGUGCACAGAUGA